RNAcentral lists this ribosomal RNA (483 nucleotides) under uncultured bacterium. RNAcentral's name for it is "partial 16S ribosomal RNA". It matches the Rfam family "Bacterial small subunit ribosomal RNA", at positions 28 to 507 of the family's 1533-position model. The record is from RNAcentral.
GACGAACGCUGGCGGCGUGCUUAACACAUGCAAGUCGAACGCUGAAGCUCAGCUUUUGUUGGGUGGAUGAUUGGCGAACGGGUGAGUAACACGUGAGUAACCUGCCUCCUUCUUUGGGAUAACGCCCGGAAACGGGUGCUAAUACUGGAUAUUCACUGGUCUUCGCAUGGGGGUUGGUGGAAAGGGUUGUUCUGGUGGGGGAUGGGCUCGCGGCCUAUCAGCUUGGUGGUGGGGUGAUGGGCUAACAAGGCUUUGACGGGUAGCCGGCCUGAGCGGGUGCACGGUAACAUUGAGACGGUGCAACGGCCUAGAGUAGUCAGGGGGGCAGCAGUGGGGAAUAUUGGCGAAUGGGCGCAGGACUGAUGCCGCGUGGGUGAGUGAGGGCUGGAGACCGUCGGGUUGUGAACCUAUUUAGCAAAAGGUCAAGCCGCAACAAUGGUUGUGGUGAGGGUAGUGGGUAAAGAAGCCCCGGCUAACUACGUG